RNAcentral lists this long non-coding RNA (1420 nucleotides) under Anser cygnoides (Swan goose). RNAcentral describes it as "lncRNA (ENSACDG00005015992.1)". The record is from RNAcentral. Lineage: Eukaryota; Metazoa; Chordata; Aves; Anseriformes; Anatidae.
GGAGGAGGAGGGGGAGGGGGAGGAGGAGGGGGAGGAGGAGGAGGAGGAGGAGGAGGAGGAGGAGAAGGAGAAGGAGAAGGAGAAGGAGAAGGAGAAGGAGAAGGAACAGCAAACUCAAGGUUGAUAAAGAGUAGUGCGUGUGUUCAGCAAAGUAGAGAAAGAAACCCUGGCAAAUGGGAAAAAAAAAAAAGCAGUCUUCACAGGAGAAUCAGAGGCUUCCUCACCCCACCUCUCCCUCCUCCGGGUGCAGAGGGCCGUGGUAUUUCGGCUGUGCAGUGCUACCACCCUCUGGCCACCUUCAAAAACACAGCCCUCCGUCUGCGGGAGUGCCCUGAACAUCAAUCAUCUGCCUCGUAUGUCCUCUCCGUGAGACGAAUGCUGCCUUUCAGCAUACCCAGUGAGAGAGAGAUGGUGAUUUAAGCCUUCUGAUGUGGCUCUACACAACGCCUGUUUUGAUUUCUUCUUUUUAUAAAGGAAUUUCAUCUGGGUGUAGGAUGCAAAGGUUGACACAACUGAAUGUGUUCGUCCUCCGCUGGUGCAGCACAUGUGGCAGGGGGAGCCUUCUAAGAAGCCAUCAUACACAUUAGAGUUGCAGCUGAUUCCUGCUUGGAGGAUGUCUUCUGUGGAAGGGGAUGUUCCUGGGUCAUUUUGAGAUCAAACUGUUAGAAUGGCAUUUCUCCUGGUACCUUGACCAAGAGAUUUUAUCCUUCAGCUCCUCAGCCACACAGCUGUAAAACAGAGAUUAUACACCUUAGCUCUUGCUUAUGGUAUUGCCAGCACGAGCUUAUUCAUGGUUUUGAUUGCAUGGGUUUGAAAUUAUAAAAAUGCCAAGUUAUGCAGCAGUCCACACAGGUCACUCUGUACUGACACUACCAACACUGAGACAGCUGCAGAUAUAUUUGUCAGUGGGGGGAGCUUCUGCCCAUCUGAAAUUGCACUGAGACCACUAGCUCAUUUCCCAAAGCACAGCAAGAAGUUAUGGGGUGGGAAGAACUGGAUAAGUAAAAAAGAAUUUGUGAGCAAAGCCCAAAGUACUUGGAAUAUGAGAGCCAUUUCACAUACUGGUGCUGAGUCAGAACACUGAGCUUAUUUUGCUGAAAAAUUCCCAACUUUUCAUAUUUUAUGCAAGAAAGAAUGCAAUGAAAGCAAGUGUAGAGAGAAAAACAGGCUCAAAAGCAAAAAGGUUGCUUCAAAGUUCAAAGAACAUGUUCUAGCAUGAUGCUUUUUUGUGGCAAGCAAAUAAUUUUUUCAGCCUUUAUGGGACAAGGAAGUGUGAAGAACAUAGGUAACAAAGUGUUUUCUUGCAGAAUCUUGCUAGCUUUGUAAGUCUUCAGGCGUGAUGGAGGAUCAUUCUGGCCAUGUCCUGCUUCAAACAGUGAAAGCAUCCAUUGUUCUUUAUUAUUUCCUUGUCACAGCCUCG